This 253-nucleotide ribosomal RNA is filed under the name uncultured bacterium. RNAcentral describes it as "partial 16S ribosomal RNA". It matches the Rfam family "Bacterial small subunit ribosomal RNA", at positions 524 to 776 of the family's 1533-position model. The record is from RNAcentral.
UACGUAGGGGCCUAGCGUUGUCCGGAUUUAUUGGGCGUAAAGAGCUCGUAGGCGGCUUGUCGCGUCGAAUGUGAAAACCCACGGCUCAACUGCGGGCUUGCGGUCGAUACGGGCAGGCUCGAGUUCGGUAGGGGAGACUGGAAUUCCUGGUGUAGCGGUGAAAUGCGCAGAUAUCAGGAGGAACACCGGUGGCGAAGGCGGGUCUCUGGGCCGAUACUGACGCUGAGGAGCGAAAGCGUGGGGAGCGAACAGG